CCACAGUAAAAGGUACAUGCCCACUAU
This 27-nucleotide non-coding RNA is filed under the name Homo sapiens (human). The record is from RNAcentral. Lineage: Eukaryota; Metazoa; Chordata; Mammalia; Primates; Hominidae.